Molecule: transfer RNA, 64 nt
Filed under: Triops cancriformis
Lineage: Eukaryota; Metazoa; Arthropoda; Branchiopoda; Notostraca; Triopsidae
Description: tRNA-Gly
Rfam family: tRNA
About the family: Transfer RNA (tRNA) molecules are approximately 80 nucleotides in length. Their secondary structure includes four short double-helical elements and three loops (D, anti-codon, and T loops).
Source: RNAcentral
UACUUCUUUAGUAUAAAGUAUAAUUGACUUCCAAUCAAUAGGACCGUCCAUGACGGAAGAAGUA